GUUUUAGUGGUGUAUUAAUAACACAUUAUAUUUUCACUAUAGAGCAGGGAAUUGAUUCCCCUAAAAUU
RNAcentral lists this transfer RNA (68 nucleotides) under Remiarctus bertholdii. Its description in RNAcentral is "tRNA-Glu". The record is from RNAcentral. Lineage: Eukaryota; Metazoa; Arthropoda; Malacostraca; Decapoda; Scyllaridae.